Molecule: ribosomal RNA, 609 nt
Filed under: uncultured bacterium
Lineage: Bacteria
Description: bacterial SSU rRNA
Rfam family: Bacterial small subunit ribosomal RNA
Source: RNAcentral
AGUCGAGCGAGUCUGCCUUGAAGAUCGGAGUGCUUGCACUCUGUGAAACAAGAUACAGGCUAGCGGCGGACGGGUGAGUAACACGUGGGUAACCUGCCCAAGAGAUCGGGAUAACACCUGGAAACAGAUGCUAAUACCGGAUAACAACAGAUGAUGCCUAUCAACUGUUUAAAAGAUGGUUCUGCUAUCACUCUUGGAUGGACCUGCGGUGCAUUAGCUAGUUGGUAGGGUAACGGCCUACCAAGGCGAUGAUGCAUAGCCGAGUUGAGAGACUGAUCGGCCACAUUGGGACUGAGACACGGCCCAAACUCCUACGGGAGGCAGCAGUAGGGAAUCUUCCACAAUGGACGCAAGUCUGAUGGAGCAACGCCGCGUGAGUGAAGAAGGGCUUCGGCUCGUAAAGCUCUGUUGUUGGUGAAGAAGGACAGGGGUAGUAACUGACCUUUGUUUGACGGUAAUCAAUUAGAAAGUCACGGCUAACUACGUGCCAGCAGCUGCGGUAAUACGUAGGUGGCAAGCGUUGUCCGGAUUUAUUGGGCGUAAAGCGAGUGCAGGCGGCUCGAUAAGUCUGAUGUGAAAGCCUUCGGCUCAACCGGAGAAUUGCAUCAG